Molecule: long non-coding RNA, 985 nt
Organism: Mesocricetus auratus (golden hamster)
Lineage: Eukaryota; Metazoa; Chordata; Mammalia; Rodentia; Cricetidae
Exons: 3
Source: RefSeq, a predicted model, not a curated record
AGACAGGGAAACAGAUGGAGGGAGCAGGUUUUAGGGGAAGUGCUGUGGGUGUGGCAGCCAUCACUGCAGCUGGGCCUGUAUUGGAAGGGAAGGGACUCGCAUGUCCACAUUCUAGUGCACAUCUUUGAAACAAAGAAAAGUUAGGCAGGAAAGCACAAGCAGCUUAGAAGAGACGCAUUUCUGCCUAACAAGUUUGGGCAGAAAGUUCGAAGACCGUGGUCCUGAGCUACAGGCAGGAAAGGAACUCCAGAGACUAGCAACAUCCUAUGCCAUCUCCAUUCCAGACUUUCCUGAAGUUUCCUUGGAAGCAACUCUUCUGUGAUGGCUACUCUUGGUUGUCAACUUGACUAUGUCUGGAAUUAACUAAAACCCACGUGGCUGGGAGCACCUGUGAGGGACCUUCCUUCAUUAAACUGUUUGAAGUGAAAAUACCCACUGUUAAUUUGGAUCUUUUGAGGUGGGAAGACUCACCUUUAAUCUGGGCCACACUGUCUGCUGGCAGCCUACAGAAAGGACAUGGAAGGACGAAGCUUGUCUCUCUUUGCCUGCUUGCUCUCACUGGAAAGUCCAUUCCUUCACCGGAUUAGAGCCUACUGCUUUGAGAUUCCAACAUAAACUGAAGACCAGCAGAGACAUGCAGCCUCCUGGACUGAACAACUACAGAAUUCUUGGACUUUCCAUUGGUAGACAGUCAUUGUUGGACCAGCUAGACUACAGCCUGUAAAUUACUCUAAUAAAUCCCUUCUACAUCUGUAUAGAUUCAUUCUAUCAGUUCUGUUACUCUAGAGAACUAUGACUAAUACAUCCACCCAGCUUUAGUAGCAUUUCAUCAGUAAUAAAAAGACUACCUCUAAGUCAUCAAUAAAUGAAUAAAUAGAAAGAUUCUGCUAACUCUUUUUGGACUUUUAACUGAUCUAUUGCUAUUAAGAAUUGAUUCUAGAAUGUUCCUUAAGAGCUCUUCUGCAUGAUUGCCAGAAGUUUCAGA